GGAGAGGUGGCCGAGUGGCUUAAGGCGCACGCUUGGAAAGCGUGUAUACUCCAAAAGGGUAUCCGGGGUUCGAAUCCCCGUCUCUCCG
RNAcentral lists this transfer RNA (88 nucleotides) under Bacteroidota bacterium. RNAcentral describes it as "tRNA-Ser". It matches the Rfam family "tRNA". Rfam says of the family: Transfer RNA (tRNA) molecules are approximately 80 nucleotides in length. Their secondary structure includes four short double-helical elements and three loops (D, anti-codon, and T loops). Further hydrogen bonds mediate the characteristic L-shaped molecular structure. tRNAs have two regions of fundamental functional importance: the anti-codon, which is responsible for specific mRNA codon recognition, and the 3' end, to which the tRNAs corresponding amino acid is attached (by aminoacyl-tRNA synthetases). tRNAs cope with the degeneracy of the genetic code in two manners: having more than one tRNA (with a specific anti-codon) for a particular amino acid; and 'wobble' base-pairing, i.e. permitting non-standard base-pairing at the 3rd anti-codon position. The record is from RNAcentral. RNAcentral also lists the same sequence under 1 other name. Lineage: Bacteria; Pseudomonadati; Bacteroidota.